Molecule: long non-coding RNA, 1117 nt
Organism: Pristis pectinata (smalltooth sawfish)
Lineage: Eukaryota; Metazoa; Chordata; Chondrichthyes; Rhinopristiformes; Pristidae
Exons: 4
Source: RefSeq, a predicted model, not a curated record
CUCAGGGGUUGGGAGGUGUCGUGGGAGUGUAGUUGGUCUGUUUGUUGCAAGUGCAUCGUCCACGCCCGGCCUUGGAAGUACCCAAAAAACCCAGAAAACCAUGGAAAUAAUCAGCAGCAAUUAUAAUUGCAACCAAAGAUAUCGAUAAGAAGGUCAGUAAAUUCUGAGGCCUGAAGUUGAAAUAUGGAAGGAGACAGAAAAUUGUCAGGAAACGGAAUGAGAAGAAACGGAAUGAGAAGUGGGGAUCAGCAUUCCAACUACCUGUGUUAGUAGGCCAGGCUGGAUCUGAAGCGGCUGAGCUCCUGGAGCCUGCGUAACGAUUGGAAGAGCAUUCUCCAUCCGGACUGAGUACCCAGCAUGCUUGGUGGGGGAGGCCUGCAAUCCUAUUGGUAUCAACCAGAAUGCAUUCAAAAGAAUCCACCAAUGGAAUUAUCUUCCUUACGUCUACCUUGUCAAAACACAUCACCAUUUUAUCAGCCUUCUUUCAGGUCAUCCUUUGGUAUGCUCCAGAGAUGAAAGAGCCUCGUCUUUUCAGCUCCCCUUCUCCCAUGGUGUCAACACAACAGGUCAAGCAUCAGUCUUUGGACCUCUCUACUCUCCUCAGUACAGCUACUCACUAAAAGGGCUAAGCAUUCUUACAUGUGGGAAGGUGUCACAGAAGCAAUGUUACAGGAAGCUGCUUUCAGAACAAUAGGACAUGGUGUCACAUGCACUGAGUUUAUAAAGUCAUCUCCCUCCCCUAGACCAACAUCUCCAGUACUGAGUUACACUCAGUCAUCUAUAUUGGGCAGGCCACGUCCUUCAUAUGCCCAACACCAGACUUUCAAAGCAGACACUCUAUUCUGUCACACGAAGGGAUUACCAGGCAGACAGACAAAAAGAUUCAAGGAUGUGCCUAAAGCCUCCUAAAAGAAAUGCAAUAUCAUCACUGCCUCUUAGGAAGCUCUAGCCCAUGACCACUCAAAGUGAAGAAGGCGUAUUUGGGAUGGGAUUGAGAGCCUCAAAAGGCCAUGCACUGGGAGCACACAGAAACUGUGUAAGCAGCAGAAGAAGCACACCACCUCACAAAUUACCCAACCACCUGCCCUAAGCCUCCACAUGCCUCACCUCACAAUGU